RNAcentral lists this ribosomal RNA (1092 nucleotides) under uncultured Nitrososphaerota archaeon. Its description in RNAcentral is "bacterial SSU rRNA". It matches the Rfam family "Archaeal small subunit ribosomal RNA", at positions 1 to 1064 of the family's 1478-position model. The record is from RNAcentral. Lineage: Archaea; Thermoproteati; Nitrososphaerota.
UCGCCCUUUUCCGGUUGAUCCUGCCGGACCCGACUGCUAUCGGAUUGGGAUUUAGCCAUGUUAGUUGUGCGUUCCUUGGCUACAGGGGACGCAGCGUACGGCUCAGUAACACGUAGUCAACCUGCCCUGGAGACGCGGAUAACCCCGGGAAACUGGGACCAAUCCGCGAUAGGUCGCCCCAUCUGGAAGGAGGGGCGGCCCAAAGGGGAAUUGUGGGCUUCCACUUUUCUCGCUCUAGGAUGGGACUGCGGCCGAUCAGGCUGUUGGCGGGGUAAUGGCCCACCAAACCUGUAACCGGUACGGGCCUUGAGAGAGGUGGCCCGGAGAUGGACACUGAGACAAGGGUCCAGGUCCUACGGGGCGCAGCAGGCGCGAAACCUUCGCAAUGUGCGAAAGCAUGACGAGGUUAAUCCGAGUGGCUUCCGCUGAGGAAGUCUUUUGCCGACUGUAAAAAGGUCGGAGAAUAAGGGGAGGGCAAGUCUGGUGUCAGCCGCCGCGGUAAUACCAGCUCCUCGAGUGGUCGGGGCGAUUAUUGGGCCUAAAGCAUCCGUAGCCGGUUCCGUAGGUCUCCUGCAAAAUCCAGUCGCUCAACGAUUGGCCCGCAGGAGAUACCGCGGGACUAGGAGGCGGGAGAGGUGGACGGUACUCCACGUGUAGGGGUAAAAUCCUUUGAUCCGUGGAAGACCACCAGUGGCGAAGGCGGUCCACCAGAACGCGCUCGACGGUGAGGGAUGAAAGCUGGGGGAGCGAACCGGAUUAGAUACCCGGGUGGUCCCAGCCGUAAACGAUGCUAGCUAGAUGAUCCGAUCGUAAAUCAUGAUCGGAGUGUCGCAGGGAAGCCGUUAAGCUAGCCGCCUGGGGAGUACGGUCGCAAGACUGAAACUUAAAGGAAUUGGCGGGGGAGCACCACAAGGGGUGAAGCCUGCGGUUCAAUUGGAGUCAACGCCAGGAAACUUACCAGGAGAGACAGCAGAUUGAGGGUCAGACUGAAGAUCUUACCUGACGAGCUGAGAGGAGGUGCAUGGCCGUCGCCAGCUCGUGCCGUGAGGCGUCCUGUUAAGUCAGGCAACGAGCGAGACCCAAAGGGCGAAU